GGAGAGAUGGCCGAGUGGUUUAAGGCGCACGCUUGGAAAGCGUGUGAAUGCCAAAAGUGUUUCAUGGGUUCGAAUCCCAUUCUCUCCGCAA
This 91-nucleotide transfer RNA is filed under the name Bacteroidetes bacterium GWE2_29_8. Its description in RNAcentral is "tRNA-Ser". It matches the Rfam family "tRNA". Rfam says of the family: Transfer RNA (tRNA) molecules are approximately 80 nucleotides in length. The record is from RNAcentral. Lineage: Bacteria; Pseudomonadati; Bacteroidota.